Molecule: ribosomal RNA, 588 nt
Filed under: uncultured Pezizomycotina
Lineage: Eukaryota; Fungi; Ascomycota
Description: eukaryotic LSU rRNA
Rfam family: Eukaryotic large subunit ribosomal RNA
Source: RNAcentral
AGGAAAAGAAACCAACAGGGAUUACCUCAGUAACGGCGAGUGAAGCGGUAACAGCUCAAAUUUGAAAUCUGGCUCUUUCAGGGUCCGAGUUGUAAUUUGUAGAAGAUGCUUCGGGUGUGGCUCCGGUCUAAGUUCCUUGGAACAGGACGUCAUAGAGGGUGAGAAUCCCGUAUGUGACUGGUUGCCUUCGCCCAUGUGAAGCUCUUUCGGCGAGUCGAGUUGUUUGGGAAUGCAGCUCUAAAUGGGAGGUAAAUUUCUUCUAAAGCUAAAUAUUGGCCAGAGACCGAUAGCGCACAAGUAGAGUGAUCGAAAAGAUGAAAAGCACUUUGGAAAGAGAGUUAAACAGUACGUGAAAUUGUUGAAAGGGAAGCGCUUGCAACCAGACUUGCCUGCCGUCGAUCAUCCUCCGUUCUCGGGGGUGCACUCGGCGGUGGUCAGGCCAGCAUCGGUUUCGGUGGUGGGAUAAAGGCCUUGGGAAUGUGGCUCCUCUCGGGGAGUGUUAUAGCCCUCGGUGCAAUGCCGCCUACCGGGACCGAGGACCGCGCUUCGGCUAGGAUGCUGGCGUAAUGGUUGUAAGCGACCCGUCUG